This 496-nucleotide ribosomal RNA is filed under the name Lactobacillus sp. oral taxon 461. RNAcentral's name for it is "bacterial SSU rRNA". It matches the Rfam family "Bacterial small subunit ribosomal RNA", at positions 28 to 492 of the family's 1533-position model. The record is from RNAcentral. Lineage: Bacteria; Bacillati; Bacillota; Bacilli; Lactobacillales; Lactobacillaceae.
GACGAACGCUGGCGGCGUGCCUAAUACAUGCAAGUCGAGCGAGCGGAACCAGCAGAUCUGCUUCGGCAGUGAUGCUGGGAAAGCGAGCGGCGGAUGGGUGAGUAACACGUGGGGAACCUGCCCCAAAGUCUGGGAUACCACUUGGAAACAGGUGCUAAUACCGGAUAAGAAAGCAGAUCGCAUGAUCAGCUUUUAAAAGGCGGCGUAAGCUGUCGCUAUGGGAUGGCCCCGCGGUGCAUUAGCUAGUUGGUAGAGUAACGGCCUACCAAGGCAAUGAUGCAUAGCCGAGUUGAGAGACUGAUCGGCCACAUUGGGACUGAGACACGGCCCAAACUCCUACGGGAGGCAGCAGUAGGGAAUCUUCCACAAUGGACGCAAGUCUGAUGGAGCAACGCCACGUGAGUGAAGAAGGUUUUCGGAUCGUAAAGCUCUGUUGUUGGUGAAGAAGGAUAGAGGUAGUAACUGGCCUUUAUUUGACGUAAUCAACCAGAAAGUC